AUCAUAACUUAACUUAAAGUAUUUCCUGGUGGAGUUUAAACAGUACGUGGAUGCUAUUCAGAAGUGUGAAAACAAAAAAGCACAAAAAACAUAAAUUCAGGGCAAGACCACUAUUAGUCGGAUUCGGGAUUUAGUAAAGCUCGAGAGCUGUCCUAAUCCGUAGGAGCUGCGAGAGGACGGCAUUCAGAGGCAGUCAGGCACACACAUUGUGGGAGAGGAGGGAUGUUUUGGAAGUUCUGGACAACAAUUUACUUCUAAAAAGAUAUUGGCUCAGUGAGGAUGAAGAGACACUGAUGUUGGACGACAAGGCCUGGACAUAGUAGAAAAAAUGGUUCUAGGCUUACAGUUCGAGCUAUUGAAGAGAGUCAACUGCAGUUAAGUGGAUCAGUGGAUGGCGAAUCGGCAGAUGAUAGGACACGACUGCACAGCGAGGCCUGUGUUUUUAUGAAGUCAUUCUAGGCACCAGCCAGUUCCACUCAGGGCUCGAAGGUCUGGAGUAAACCAAGAGGAGGAAUGGGAGAAAGGGACAGACCAGUGCUUAACCCAUUCGGACUUGCUCUUUAGAACGGCAUCGUCAUCCCCAGUACACUUUCUACUCAUUUCUGGCCUUUUAGCGCUUGGCGACCAACGUGCCUCAUAAGCAUUCUGACAAUUUUCUAGCUGUUUUUUGAAGAACGCAUCAGUUUCCUUAGCCUCUUCCGAGCUCUGCUUAAGAGAAGCUACUUGUUGGCUCAGGUUCAUAUUAUCCUCUGC
This is a long non-coding RNA of Paramormyrops kingsleyae, 753 nucleotides long. RefSeq lists it as uncharacterized. The record is from RefSeq and is a predicted model, not a curated record. Lineage: Eukaryota; Metazoa; Chordata; Actinopteri; Osteoglossiformes; Mormyridae.